UGAACAAAAUAAAAAUGUAAUAUUAUUUUGGACUCCUGCUCAUGUAGGCAUUUUCUGCAAUGAAAGAGCAGAUAGGUUGGCUAAGGAAGUUAUUAAAAAAGAAGAUGUUGAUAUGCCAGUAAAGUUAUCUAAAUCUGAAGGCAAAAGUAUAGUUUGGAGAGAAAGCAAGAAAAUAUGGAAAAUUAGGUGGGAUAAUAAAUGGAAGGCAUUUAUAUAGGAUACAAAAUGUAGUUGAUGGUUUAAGGAUUAGAGGAAAAAUCAGGAGGGAGGAGAUAAUUGUAAAUAGAAUAAGAACCGGUCAGAGUUUUUUUAAAUGGGACUCUUUUUAAGAUGGGGAAACAUCUUACUGGUUUAUGUAGUUAGUGAUACUGUAGAAACAAUGGAACAUGUUUUUAUUAGUUGUAGAAAAUAUGUAAAUCAAAGAAGAUUAUUAAAAACGGAGUUAGGUUUUAAUAGGGAAUUGAAAUUUGAGAAUGUGGUCGAUCAGUUAAAUAGUAUUGAGAGGGAAAAGAAGAUUUUUUCGUUUUUUUAAAAAAAUACUGGGAUCAUUAUGAGAAUUUGAGGUAUAGAUGUUAGGGUCCAAUAGAUGGCAGCAGUGCAACAAUAAUGGAUGCAAGCUGCUGUUAAAAUCUGAAGAAGAAGAACUCGGAUCUCCUGUGGCUAGCUGCUUGUGCUUGGCGUUUUCCAAAAUCGUUGAAGAAUACUGCUGGACCGAGCCAAAUGAACACAGCCGAAUGAUUAUAUUGUGUGUUUUCUGACAACCUCUCGACGGUCAGGUUUUUUCCCCCCCACCACCUGUUUCAACCCAGGAUGGCGAGCUACUGGAUCACCGCAGCUUUGCAGUAGUACUUUAUUGAACCAAACUACUUUUCUUGUCCGGACCUAUUGCCUUGGGUCAUGGACUUUAAAACAUUCUGAUUAUUGAUUGAUGGACCAUUAAUCACCCUGCAUCAAAAAGAACGGACUUGAAUAAGAGAGAAAAAAACUCUUGGGUGUCAUCAGGGUUUAUUUUGUUGUUGUUGUUGAUUUCUUGUUGUGCUUGUUGUUUAUACUUAUAGGAAAAUAUUAUUAUUGCAAAAUAUAUGAAUUUGAAUACAAUAACUUAAACUUA
Xiphophorus hellerii (green swordtail) is the source of this 1111-nucleotide long non-coding RNA. RefSeq lists it as uncharacterized. NCBI's taxonomy places the organism in Eukaryota, Metazoa, Chordata, Actinopteri, Cyprinodontiformes, Poeciliidae. The transcript has 2 exons. The record is from RefSeq and is a predicted model, not a curated record.